ACGGGAGGCAGCAGUCGGGAAUCUUGCGCAAUGGGCGAAAGCCUGACGCAGCAACACCGUGUGGGCGACGAAGGCCUUCGGGUCGUAAAGCCCUGUUGUUGGGGACGAAGGGCGAAGGGUUAAUAGCCCCUAGCCUGACGGUACCCUUCGAGGAAGCCCCGGCUAACUACGUGCCAGCAGCCGCGGUAAUACGUAGGGGGCGAGCGUUGUCCGGAAUUAUUGGGCGUAAAGAGCGUGUAGGCGGUUCGGUAAGUCUGCCGUGAAAACCUGGGGCUCAACCCCGGGCGUGCGGUGGAUACUGCCGGGCUAGAGGGUGGUAGAGGCGAGUGGAAUUCCCGGUGUAGCGGUGAAAUGCGCAGAUAUCGGGAGGAACACCAGUAGCGAAGGCGGCUCGCUGGGCCAUUCCUGACGCUGAGACGCGAAAGCUAGGGGAGCGAACAGGAUUAGAUACCCUGGUA
This 458-nucleotide ribosomal RNA is filed under the name uncultured Rubrobacter sp. Its description in RNAcentral is "bacterial SSU rRNA". It matches the Rfam family "Bacterial small subunit ribosomal RNA", at positions 341 to 792 of the family's 1533-position model. The record is from RNAcentral. Lineage: Bacteria; Bacillati; Actinomycetota; Rubrobacteria; Rubrobacterales; Rubrobacteraceae.